Non-coding RNA from Ictidomys tridecemlineatus (thirteen-lined ground squirrel), 1294 nucleotides. The record is from RefSeq and is a predicted model, not a curated record. Lineage: Eukaryota; Metazoa; Chordata; Mammalia; Rodentia; Sciuridae.
CUGAGUCCUGCAUUCUGAAUAUUGCCUCAACUCUGGUGACUUUCAAGUCUAUCAGGUAAAGGGGUGAGAAGAAAUCAGCGACAAUACCUACUAUUAAAAGAAAUGCGAUCUGGCUGCACAAAUGAGAGAGACAAACCCAGCAACCUGGUUACUCCUGGAGAUACAUGAGAGAGCCAUGAUUUCCAGAAUGGAGGUGGAAAGGGAAACAGACCAUAUACCACAGUUCCUGGAGAUGAAGAUUUCUGUUUGUCAGAGGGGACUGGGACGGAAAACUAUGCAGUGUGUGGAGGAGCUGAUUCUAUGGAAGCUGUUGUGUGACCCUGAGAUUGCACGUGCCUAUUAGGAUGCCAAAUAAUUCUUAGCUAUAGAUGUGCAAAUUCUAUCCUAUCUUGUAGAGGUGCAAUUGAGUUCUCUUCCCCACGGUGGAAAAAAGCUAGUUUUGCCUCCUCUUGCACAUUCAUUUCAAUAUUCCUGAUCUAUAAAUGUGUCUGUUUUUCAAUUUCCUCCCUUGAACCAGAUAUAACAUCUGCCUGGCUCCUUCUUUAUGAGCAAAAUAAAAUCUUUAACAUGUGUUCAUUUUAUAUCCUUAUGAGUCAUGAUUUUACCUUUUUUGGGGGGGAAAAUUAUCUUUUAACGCUACCUUUUUCUCACUCAUAGUUUCUCAUCCUUCAUUUCGCUUUCUCAGUUCUUUCCUCUCUCUUCAUGUCUAAUGUGUUGAAUUCUCUGCAAACCCAUGGCUAGCCCAGCUGAGGUCAGUGUCAUUUUUACACAUAGAUCAUUGCAACGGUGUCCUAAUUGGUAUCCUGUCUCAAAACUUGAGCCCCCACCAUUUCUACUGUACAGACUCUGAGCUCCUCAAACAAUAAGUUCUGUCCUAUCCCAUUCCUACUAGAGCUCCCCAGGGGUUCGUAUCACCCUUAGACCACUGGUCCUGUUAAGAAAGUUGAGCCUUCAAGACGCACUGUGAGCUGGGGUUCCGCUGCAAUUCUCAGGAGGAGUUUCCCUUUCCUUCACCUUCUACCCAAAGGUCAAUCACAAUUCACUUCCUUCAAUAUCCCUCAAUAUCUCACUCACUCCUGGGCCUUCGCUCAAGUCUUCCCCUUCUUCCCUGGGCUAGCUCUCAGGUACCUGCUGCAUCUCAGCUCACAUGUCACUUUCCUUGGGAGGCCUUCUCUAUUAUUGGUCCUGUUCUUUCCAGCUCUGUCCUCCAGAGGACUGUAAUCCCCAUGGUGAGAGGACUGUGUCCUUGACUCUCAUAAUCACCACUGCUAGUGCAGAACUCCAGUGAGCAUUU